UCAUUUUGGCUUUUAGUGGCUUGCUUGGCAAUUGGGCUUUGUGGGUUGCUACUAGUUUGGGUGUCUUCGGGGAUGUCUACCGUAAAGGUGCAUGAGUGGUGUUUGGUUUGUUACGGGUGGUUGGCUCUUUGCUUGCGCAACAACUUCCACCUGGCAUACCUCUUCAGUCUUGUGUCAAUGUUUGUUUUGCAUUGAAUGCACGACGGGUUUCUUGUGUUGCAUGCCUAAUUAAUGGUAUCGUUUGAUGAAUUGGUUUCCCUUUUCGUCUUGCGUCGCCUAUGCGAUGUGAGAUGAACCUUGAAGCAGCCUUUGUGAUCCACACUUUUGAUGCAUACGCAUUGAUUUUGUGGCCCAUUAAGUGUUGCUCGGUCUCAUGGAUAUGGAACCUGGUGUGGGCAUGGAAUCGUAAUGGUUCCUUGUUUGCCCAAGUUUAGCUUUUUUAAAACGAUUUGUCUAUCAUGUGUUAGCGUGGUAGACUAUGUCGAAUAUGAAUGCUACCUGGUGAUCCUGCC
Molecule: unclassified non-coding RNA, 512 nt
Filed under: Helichrysum fleckii
Lineage: Eukaryota; Viridiplantae; Streptophyta; Magnoliopsida; Asterales; Asteraceae
Description: partial external transcribed spacer
Source: RNAcentral